RNAcentral lists this long non-coding RNA (515 nucleotides) under Nicotiana tabacum (common tobacco). Its description in RNAcentral is "long non-coding RNA (NTAB_LNC010978)". Lineage: Eukaryota; Viridiplantae; Streptophyta; Magnoliopsida; Solanales; Solanaceae. The record is from RNAcentral.
AGCUUGCUGAGAAGAGAAAUCUCUCAGAUCUCAUCAUGAAUGUUGGUGCCGGCGGCGGUGGUGGUGCCGUAGCCGUAGCUGCCCCCACUGGUGGUGCCGCCGCUGGUGGUGCUGCAGCUGCUCCUGCUGCCGAGGAAAAGAAGGUAAACGAAAUUAGUGGUCCUUUUUGGAAUCUGUUUAACCCUGAGUUGCGUACUUAUUAUUGUUUGUUGAAUGUGUGCAGGAGGAGCCAAAGGAAGAAAGUGAUGAUGAUAUGGGAUUCAGUUUGUUCGAUUAGAAGCUGUUUUCAGUAUGAUCUUGUCUGUUUCCAAAAAAAUAGUUGGCUAAGUUUUAGUAUGUGAUGUUUGAGAUAUUCAGAGAAGUGUAAGAGUACAUGUAAUUUUGAGGUUAAUGACUCCUGUUUUGCUAGUUUGUGCCUUAUUUUUAGCCAUUUUUUGUCGUUUUGAAAUCAAAUGUUUGUUCUUCUUUUGCUUGUUUUUAUUCUCUGUUUCUUUUUAUUGUUUGUGCAUUUAAAU